RNAcentral lists this ribosomal RNA (254 nucleotides) under uncultured bacterium. RNAcentral's name for it is "partial 16S ribosomal RNA". It matches the Rfam family "Bacterial small subunit ribosomal RNA", at positions 524 to 776 of the family's 1533-position model. The record is from RNAcentral.
CACGUAGGGGGCAAGCGUUGUCCGGAUUUAUUGGGCGUAAAGAGCUCGUAGGCGGUUCGGCAAGUCAGCUGUGAAAUCUCCACGCUCAACGUGGAGGGGUCAGCUGAUACUGCUGUGACUUGAGUCCGGUAGGGGAGUGUGGAAUUCCCGGUGUAGCGGUGAAAUGCGCAGAUAUCGGGAGGAACACCAGUAGCGAAGGCGGCACUCUGGGCCGGUACUGACGCUGAGGAGCGAAAGCGUGGGGAGCAAACAGG